GAGAUACAGUAAAGAAAGCAAAGAGAAAGCAGAUCUAAUAGCAGAAACACUGGCUAUGGUUCAAAGCUGUGGUAAUCUGUUUAAUUAAGAGACAUUGUAACGCAAACACAGUACACAAGGAAACAAAGAAGCCCCGCUGGAAGAAAGCACUAGUAGGAUGGACACAUUAUUCUCGUAAACUGAAUGAAAUAUGUUUCUCACAACAGGAACACCAGAUCAGGCAAAAGACCAAACUAAUUAUGGCAUGUUAAAAAUCUUAAUAAAGGGACAUUUUGUUAGCCUUGUACAACAAGGUCUGGGAAAAGGGACACCAACUCCGUCAGUGGAAAGAAGCUGUUGUUUCCCUAUAUGCGGACCCAUGUCUGGCUGGGACUAUAUGGCCUAUAGCUCUGACAUCACAUGUGGGCAAAAUAAUGGAGAAAACGCAAGAAUUACUGGCUAUUUAGAAUAUUUUUUUUAAAUGAUCAACGUGGAUUUAGACUCACCAUUGACCCAGCACUAGACAGCACUGUCUAUAAAAAUGAAAUCAGAAAAGCACAAAUAAAUAGAGUCCAGGUGCAGUAUUUUUUUGAUGUAGAAAAGGCCUAUGACAAACAAGGUUUGUUGACAUAACUAUACAAUAUACCCACAAAGCCUACAUCAGCAGAUUAAGAAAUUAACAAAAUCAGGAGAACACCGUAGUCAAUAAAUUACAGGGCAAAAUUGAUGGAUUGAUGUAUGCUGACAUAACAGCCGUUAUACCCCAAAUCGAUUUAAUGUCUAACAAAAGAACACUUAUCAGUAUACACAGGGAAAAAAACAGCAAUCCUGCAACAGGCCAGGUAAAGUUUUAAUAGGAUCAGACUCACGCAAAGCAUUGGUAAACAUCAGGCAUAUAUCAUCAGACAUAAGACCAGACAUUAUUAUAGAAAUCCAUCAAACACUUCUCCAAAUCGAGAAAAACAAGACAGGGAUCAACUUCAUGUGUAACCCAGCUCCUAUAGGGGUUGAAGGGAACAAACUGGCAGACAAAUAUGCAAAGUAUGGCUGAAGUUGAGUGCAAAGUAAAUACUGAAAUGAAACGUAAAUGGCAGAAGAGAUGGAAGAAAAGGGUGACGUUAUCAUGACAGAAAUUAGAAACCAGCGGGAAGAAAGAGGAUGAUGUCAUGCCUAGAAUGAGGUUUGGACACAUAGGUCUUAAAAUCACACAAAUACAGUUUUUUACGAUUGAAUAAACUCUAAAAUCAAAAGUAUCACAAUUGUCCAAACUGUACAGUCAAGGAGCAAAACCUCGGCCCAGAUUCGCACCACUAUGAACACAAUGUCAACCUCACACUGCUUGCAAAACAAUACACAGUAAUUUGUUAGACACUAAACACACUUCUUUACAUUCCACACAGAAGUAUAUCAAGAAAUGUCACUUCCUUGCAAUUGCAAAGCACUGAUAGUCAAAUUACCACACCCAUGUGCCAAUUGGUUAUACACAGCCUUCAGAUGCCCAAACACAAGAUUGCUUAAUUUUAGACACACCAAUCAGGUUUAUGCAGCAGGUGAGUUAAUCUUUCUUCAACCAAAAUGGAAGGAAUGAGAAGAGUGAGGGUGGGAGGAGAAUUCCCAGAGGAGGAAGUCAGAUCGAGCUAGACGAAGAGACAACGUGUGACAUUUUCUGUAUUGUAUUUUCAGCUUCAUCUAUUUUUUAUGUUUGUCUAAUGCAUAUAAACGGGAACUUAUUUCUUGUUGUGAAUCUCCGUUGUCAACAGCAGUGUGUAAAGUCAUUUAAAAUGUGUGUGUCAUAUGGUAACAAAAUAUCACAAAUUAGUGUAUCGUGUUUAGUUUUGAGAAAUUCAGUAUGUGGGCGUGCUAAUUGUGUGUACUAUUUUUUGAAAAACAAAACCAACAAAAUCGUGCUUACAGUAAACGAUAGAAACGUAGAAAAACUAAUACUGAGAAAACAUCCAACAGGCACCUGUCAGUACUGCAGUGAAGGGCAGAGGUGUCAAAAGUAUUCACAUUCAUUACUCAAGUAGAAGUACAGAUACUAGGGUUUAAAAAGACUCCUGUAGAAGUUGAAGUAUCAACUCAAGCUUUUUACUUAAGUAAAAGUAUAAAAGUACUGGUUUCAAAACUACUUAAAGUAUAAAAGUAAAAGUAAUGUGAGGGAAGAAAUUCCAUUAAGAACAAACCCUUAAUGUGUAACCUCGCUCACACAACACGUCAGUCCGUGAUCAGAAGACGCCUGCAGAUCACGUGACCUGCCGUUGGGACGGUGGAAACAUGGCGAUACUCAGAGAUACGACAACAAAACAACAAAUGUAUCUAACUUAAACAGAUAAAACCACAACCCAUUUUCCAGUGACACGAGUCACACACACGUUGUUCGCAUUGAUUAGGUAGACUGCAGUGUCUCCCCCAGGUUUACUACGUCAUGGGGGGGGGGGGCGCACCCCUGUUUAUAAUGAUGGGAAACACUGAACUGGCAGCGGUCGGUUAUCAGAACAAAUAACCAGUAUUUUCAGGCUUCAUGAGCAAAUACAGAAUCCCUGUGCGUUGAUUUCCAAAGCCGCAUUAAGACACACAUCACUUUAUUUAAUACGCUGCUUGCAAGUCGCUGUGUGCCGGCGCAUCGCGGAGAAAACCAAUCGGUGUCUGGAUGCUAAAGGUUUAUAUUCUCAUCCAACCACAAUCAAAUUCACUGUACGGAUAACGUGAUUUAUCUAGAUGGGUUUCUUUGUGUCUGUGUUUUUGAACUGCGACAAGCCGGAAGUAACGAGGCUGUUUUUAAAAUGUAAGGAGUAGAAAGUACAGAUAUUUGCGUGAAAAUGUAAAGAGUAGAAGUAAAAAGUCGUCUGAAAAAUAAAUACUCCAGUAAAGUAUAGAUACCCCAAAUUUCUAAUUAAGUACAGUAACAAAGUAUUUGUACUUCGUUACUUGACACCUCUGGUGAAGGGAAAUCAUAGAACACGUUAUCAUCCAUUGUCCACAAUACAAAUCACCACAGACUGUUUCCAGGAAGAAAAGAUUAGGUUUACACACCUGAUGCAACUUAAUUCACAACAUCUAGUUUAUAUCUAGCAGACGAGACAAAACUGGUACAAGGACCACACACCAUUAAGUUGCAUGCCAACCGCCAAAGACGAAAAGGGAACAUUUCCUGACUGGGUUCACGUGCACUAAAGAAGUGUUUCCACUCAGUAUGCAUCAAUGGAGUUAUGCUAAAAGAGUGUGGAAAUUAGGCAGGAAUCUCAUGUAGUGGCUCCUGAAAUCCCAUUCACAGCCCCCAAGAGAGAGCUAUUGAAACAAGACAAGGAGUGAAUCUAGUGUACUUGGCAGGUUUCAGCAUGAGACUCUUCUCUCCUUCAUCCUCAGUCAUCAUGCGCAGCAAAUGAUGGAUUCCAGGGAAGAGACGUUUGGGUCAUCUUGAAUUAGCACGGAGAAGGCCUAGGAGUGGAAGAGGCAUCCACCAAAGACUUUCAUGACUUGCCAUUCUGUCUACUCCCUUUUUCUUACCCCUCAGAUCACUUUCUUACCUUGAAGCGACUGAAUGCUGCUAGCGCUAAUUAAGCUGGCAAAUAGCCUCAGCACAAGCAAAAAGCCAAGGAUGAAAGCUCCAUUAAUGAAUCACAAUGCCGUGACAACACUGUCAAUUACUUCCAUGAGCAAGGAGAAAGAAGAUGAUGAUGUCUAAGAAAAAACUAAGAACACACAAGUGAGGUUUGGGCUCAAUGGAUUUUCUUGUCAUACAACACAAUGACUUGGAAACUUCUGAGUGUGUGUCUGUAUUUACUGUAUAUGCUAGGCUGUGAAGGCCUAUGUAAUUCUAGAUUACCAAAGCGAUCGCUCAUUAGCUAGACUAGAAUUCUUCAAACUGUUCAGUGUGGACAGCAAAAUAUUCUCGUACUAUCGGAGAACUUUAUCUGAGACAUCUAGCAAGAAGGUGGAAGGAUUCCAGAUCGAGUCAUUGAAUGGCAAUGUACUCAUCUCACUACCACCGCUGAUUGAGUGUCAUGAAAUCGGUCUAAGAACACCAAGUUGAAAAAGAUCACCACGCUAAUCUACAGCAACCCCGUCUCCAUCACAUCCCGCAACUGGCCCAUAAGCACAAAUACUCCUGCUACGAGCUAAGAGAUGUCCUUCGAGUACAGAAGGUCAGGUAACAGGUCAACUGACCACACAACGCCCCUUUGCUCAAUGACAAGGUAGUAAAGAGGUUGCUCUUUACUACAAACCUUGCAAACAGACCGUAGCUUUUUAAAAAUGGAUGAAAAAGUCUACAGGACAACGCUAACAAUUGGAUCGCCCCACUGCCAUUUAAAGAUCAACGGCAGCUUCUCCCGAACAAUGGGGCAGGUGGUUAACCGGUUUGCAUCCUUGCAAGGAACGUUGAAAAGGAAAUCUGAGAUGCAGGAACAUGGAGAAGACCUUUGCUAAUGGACAUGCUGAGGUUGCACCGUCACUGCGAGAAGACGAGGGGGGCUGGUAUCUCCCAACAUUUGGAGUCUACCACUCACAAAAACCCUAACCAGAUCAGGGUGGUCUUCGACUCCAGCUCCCAGUACUAUGGCGUCUCUCUCAAUGACGUGUUACUCACUGAGGUGCUGAUUUCCUCCGGGUUGGUCUGUAUGGCGUGCUGUUCUGCCAGCCUUAAUCACCUCCAUGUUCAUCUUGGCUUGAAGACAUAAUUAAUCCACUGAACACGUUCUGUGUGCUGUUGAUCUUUGUUUAUUUGUGUUCAGGUACUCUUUUGGUCAUAGUGGAAACAACUCGCUUUCCACGACAGCGGUCCAAACCCUUUCACUCUCUGGGUCCAACACCUGAUGCCACAGCGCAGAGGACAUGGUGAGAGACAUGGAGAGGAGAGGUUACGAGGUGGGAGAAGGCACCGCGACCACAGGGAGGGAGCUGAUAGGAGCCCGAGCAGAAUGGCAACAGACGACUCAAAGACGGGAGGACGUCAGCGGCUGCUGCCAGAGAGAAGCUGAGGGGCUUUCAAAGAAUAAACUGAGUCUGGCUCGUGGACCCAAAUGGAUGUUUUAUGGAUCCCAGUCUGACGGGCUCCAAGGUAUGUUAACGGACCUUUACUAAAUCCAACACAAUUUAAGCCGAUUGAGAGAGACCAAAAUGAUGGAGUUGGACAUAACUAGUCGGAGGGAAACCCUACGGAAUGGGUUUGACUUUGGUUAUAUAGGGUUAUUGAUCUAGGAAUAGAUGGGUAUGACUGGUGUCACUUAAUGUUAAUUGAUUGAAUACCCGCAAGAAGAUGAACAAGGUAAAAACUAAAGAAGGAUAGAGCCCAAAUUAUAUAUCUGCAGGAGACUCACCUCAACAAAGUAGAACAUGACAAGCUAAAGAGAUAUGAAUAACUAAUUGCAAAUUGAAUGUGGGUCUACUGAAUGAUAAACAAAGGAAGGACAAAAUCAAUCCUGUCACUAAAGAAAUUGUGGAAUAUUGGAUGAAGAUCCAUGUCUUCGGCAACGCUCCAUCUCCAGCUGUUGCUAUCUAUGGGGCUGCAAAAUGCCAUCAGAGAAGGCCUAGAGGUGCAUGGUUCAGAAACUGUGAAGAUCGUGGAAAGACACUUUUACAUGGAUGAUGGUUUGAUAUCACUACCAUCCGAAACAGAAGCGACUUGAUGCAGCGGACACAAGCACCAUUAGCAGAAUCAAAUCUGCGCUUAGACAUGUUUGCAUCAAACCGCCAGGCAGUUAUAGAUGUCGUGCACAGCAAUCAACUGCAGUGGUUUCUGAUAUGAGCGGAGAAACCACACCCACACGAUGAAGCCUGGGUCUGUUAUGGGAAAUCCAGACUGAUACAUUUACCUAUACUGCAUCAACUACGAUCAAACUAUUCACCCGACGUGCAGUUCUCUCCACUGUCAACAGUAUCUUCGAUCCCCUGGGUCUGCUAGCACCGGUCACAAUCCAGGGAAGAGCCAUCCUGAGGGAACAUACGUUGGAACUGUCUGACUAGGAUGCGUCUUAUUCAGAAGAGAAACAAAGCAGAUGGGAAUCAUGUAAGGAUUCAUUCACUCACUGUCAUCAGCCACGUAAGGGGCUGCUAUGCUGCCUGCCGUGUAUGGAAUAGCUCCGCAUUUCCCAGCGUUGGAGGCGAGCCUCAUGCUGUUCAUCGAACUUACCCGUGCCUGUAGGUUGGAAGUGACGGUGAUGUCCAUCCUCGAUGGGCACGUAUGGGGUGUAGCGCUCUCCCUGUUAGCCUGCGUAGCUCGUGCUAGUCGCUACCUCCCAGAUUAGGUUGUUGUUUACCCCUUUACAACAACCCGACUAUUUUCUGCCCUGGCUCCUAAUAAAGCACUAUAUCGUUUGGCUUUCUUGAACAAUUUUAUGUUCUUCCUUCUUGUUGUUCUGGUUCUGUACCCUCUUGAUGAAUGCACUUAUUGUCCCUUUGGAUAAAAGCUUCCGCUGAAUGAUGAAUGUAGACAUAAUCUGCUGCUUCCGAUUCUCUCGCCUUCUCCGUCCUGGUGCGGGUGGCGACUCGUUCUCUGUCCAGGUGUGAGCCUUACCCACUUACACCUGGGAAGAUGGAAGCUCGGUGCUGGGACUUGCUUGAUGCACUCUUGAGCUAAGCCAGCAUGGCUUCUUGCUGCUGCGCCUCGUAGGCGAGUGCUACUACGCCAGCCAGCCAGCUCAUGUUGUUGAUCUAGCUCCCCCUGCAAUCGAUCAUGUCCCAAUCAGACAUUCUCUUAGUGACUACAACACUCCACUUCAACGUUCACCUUGCCUCUGGUGCUUGCUUGAAAUGACAACUGACAGCAACUAGGACUGAGGGAAACCAGUCCCACUAAGCACGGGGGAAACCAUUACCCGCUGCAACUAUGGAGUCUCCAUAAACAUGGGGCACAGCAGGACCCAAUACAGGUGUGAAGUUUUUUUUAUAUAUUAAUAAUGUAGGGAAGGUUCAUUCCAAAGUGCAUGUAUCAGAAGCAUAAUGUAACAGAGGCCAGUACAUGUGGAUUCAUUUUGGUCUGCACAUCAUGGGCACUUGCUAAAAUGUUUUGAUCAUACGAGGAACAGUGUUUUAGAGAGAUCAUUAUACAUUCUAGCUCUUUGUUCCCUGUAUUAAUUCAUCGGCUGGGAUUGUAAUCCAUCUCUUUCUGAUGCAACAGCUGUUUAUGUUAUAUUUAUCCAGAAUCCAAGGAAAUUAUAAAACAAGUGCUAUUUCCAACAAGAUUCUAAAAAACUAAUUGAAAAUGACUCAGUUCUGUAGACAUAUUGUCCAUAAGAACUUAAACAUUAAUUUUGGCUGAACAAACCCUUUAACCUCAACCCUUUUAACCGCAGGUGGACAUGGAGUUUGGAGCUGUUCUGGUCCCUGAAGUUCAGCUGAUGGCCCCCUGUCCAUUGUGUUGAAUGUUUUUGUACAAACUGUAUGCAUUUCUGAUAUUAAUAUCAGAAAUGCUCCAGUGAAUGCCACAUGUCAACAGCUGCAUGAUGCAAGAGGAAGUUAAAUAAAUACUUUCAUUGAGCAUAGAUCUGAAAUCAGUGUGGAAUUCUUAUUUUAAUGAACGAAUUUAUACUUAAGUCAUUUUGUGUCCUCUAUAAUCGAAAGCUGUCAGGAGGCCAACGUGAAUGCCAAUAGAAUACUUGUCAUUUUCAAAUGUCUAUUUUGUUAUGAGGCACAACAAUCUGGUUAGCAAGAGUGGAUCGAACACACUAAAUAAUCACUGAAAUCAUUAACAAAGCUUUUUAAAUCGUCCACAGUUGCAUUAGAGCUGUUUCGAAAAUGACAUAGAAAUUCAGAUUUUUAUUUUGAAUGAUAUUAUGAAUUCCUUCCAUGACCAUGGACAUAAUUUCUAGUAUCCUCUGGCGUUGAAAUGACAGAGCUGUGACAGUCAGCUUUACUGAAGCUACACCAUCUGAAAUGUUACAUUUGGCAAUUGGGCUCAGUUGCUGUUGGUAAAGUUGUAUUAUACAACUGCCUGUUGAGAACUUUAUUAUUCUAUUCUAUGUUAAAAUCACUCCUACAGAAUGUAAAUAUGACUGCUUUAGAAUAUAUUGGAAAGCAACUUUGACAAAGCAAUGCUAGCUGUUCCUCAUUCUGAAUUGAUCAGUGUGAAAUGGAAAAGCCUGGGGGUUGUUUUGUUGUGCAAACAAACCUGCUGACCUUGUGAGAUACAGUGAGAUGCUGUAUAAUGAAGACAAAAGCCAUCUUCAUUAUACAGCAUUCAACCAAUGGAUUCACCAACACAACAACACCUUGGAUCAGCGUAUGACCUUCAUGUGGAAAAGGCCAUCUUAUCAAAACAUGAAAGAAUAAUCAGCCAGCGAUGUCUGCAAAUGGAUGUCAGGACCAGGAAAUAAAUGCCAAUGUGAGGGUUUCGGGACAAGGGAUGAGGCACGUGUACAGACUACAGUAAUCUAUCCUGUUCACUAUCAAAUCUCAUAAGAAAAGCUACACAAAGCUGCCCUUCAACCAAUAUUUUAAAUAAGAGGACAAACUAUUAGUGAAUUGGCAUUUAACCAAUAAAUACCAUCAUGAAACCUUCCCAGUUGACUUAUUCCCAGUAUGUCUUAUUAUUAAGACAAUUAGUUGUAGUAUUAGUAGUAUUUGAAGUUUUUUAGAAAUCUUCAAAUCAAACCAGUGCAGUAGAAAAACAGUAUUUUUGUCUUAAAGCAAUUCCACUAGGAAAGAAAGGUCAAAGUAAUACUUGGUUGGUGGUUGUAAUCAUUAAUCAUUCAUAAUCAUUAAUACCCCCUCGCUGCACUUUCUACAUCCACAGAGCCGAUUUCCCACUACAUUCAGUCCAGUUUAGCAUAACGCAUACUGCUGAAAAAUAGCUCAGAUUAUGAAAUAAUGCCAGGUUGGAUAGACAACAUGAAGGGCUGCUUCCAUUCUUGCUGUUCAGGCAGGAUGCUCUAGUGUCUUCUCGCCAUCUAUUCAGGGAGAGGAGGCUGAAGAAACGUUCACCCGCCAGGGGAACUGGACAGGAUGUGCCAAAUACAGCCUGCGUAGCUUGGGUAUCCAGCUGCUGCUAACAAUAGGAUCCUCGUUGGGGGAUUUGAUUCAUAAAGAGAGAGUGGGGGAUAUUUCGGGCAUUGUUCAGAGGUAGGGAUUUCUGAAUGCGGCUGGUCCAGAUUUCCUUCACACCAUGGCUAUUGUUUGGGUGUGUCUGGUAAACAAUUUAGCAUGAAGUUAUUUUUUGUCCUGCUGACAACAAGUCCAAAGUUCAUGACACGUCAAUGGCCCCCCAAACGUUCCUUUGGCUGUUUUGGGGUAAUAGUUCGGGAAUGGAAGAGUGUGUCAACUACUCAUUUGUACUCAUUUAUAGAGUAAUUAGGAACACAUAUAUGCUAGAAAGUAUCGACUUUCAUCGAUUCUAAAUGUCUGGUUUACCCAUUUCAGAUAAUGUACAAUAAAUUGUUGUCACCUACACUUUCAAUUGUCACUUUCUCUUCGCUGGUGCACUUUAUUUUUUAAUUUUUUAAUAUUUUUAACUUUUAUUCCUUUAUUUUCAACUAACCCAUACCAUUAUAUUUUAUUUUAUUCCUUGUGCACUGUUGUCUUGUCGUCGUACUGUCUGCUGUUACGCACCAACCGCCAAGUCAAUUUCCUUGUAUGUGACAUAUUAUGGCAAUAAAUGUUUCCUGAUUCCUGAUUUAUAGAAGACACCUGUAGUCAGUUGGGUUGUGAUGGUUCGUUGUUUCUAAAAGCUAAACAAAAUGUUUAGUAAACAGUAAAGCUCAAACUUGAAGCUAGUAAAGCCGACUCACUUUAACUUUGAAUUUAGUCUUGUAGGCCAGAGAGGUAGAAUAGUCAAAUGGCGUGUAGUCAUACAUACAAUUUUUUGCUAUCAACUUUAUGUAACUUUAAUUUUUAGCUAUCGAUUAAAACAUAGAAUUUAGGUCUGUGUGAAGUUGAUCUGCUACUGCAAACCUGGUUUCAGAAUGGUGAACCUGAACACGAACACUUUGGAAGAUAUUUGGGUAAAUCUUUACUUUGUUUUUUAUAAAAAUUCAUGCACAGCUACAUUUUUUCAACUCAGAAAUCAACAAUCUUAAUGUAUCCAUUACAUAGGGCUGGGCGGUAUGGCUAAAAAAUAUACCACAUUGUUUAUCACAGUAUUUCUUGUCGAGUAACACAUUUAUUCAUUGACGCCAAAAAGGACCGCCGUUCACUGCUCGCUGGACAGCUCGUUUGCAAAUGUCUGUCAUAGCCUUUGUGCAUGCUAGUGUUGCCACUACAGGCAAACCCAGCAGCUCAACCAACUUUACAUGGGACAAUUAGCUCGCCGACAAGGUGUAAAAAUAGACCCACUAUUAAGUAUUCAUUGUGACACCUAUAAACUUGGUCCUUUAUAAAAACAACUGUCAAUAAAAAGGCACUGAUAAAUAACAAAUGGGUAUUAUAACGACAAUCGAGCAAAUGAGAUGUGACAACCUAACCAUCAUAAUAACUAACGUGUAAAUAAUAAAUGCAUAAGGCAAUGUGCAAAUGGAGGUCGGUCACACAGAGAUGAAGUACAAAUGUGUCGCUAGCUCUCCAUAUACGCAGAGCCAAUACUGCCCAUUAGGUGGCCUCAGGAGUCAGAGUUUUAACAGAAGUUAGGCUGCAUUAAAGUGUUGAGAGUUGUAGGUCUGUGGGGAUGAAAUAUUUUCUUUUCGUUCUUUUGAGCAGCUCUGUGACCGUAGCCUACAAAUGACAUCUCUCUGUGGCUCACCAAUCUGCUGGGUAGAUCAUUGGCGGACCUCGGCUACCUGGGGGAAGGGUUGGAUAGGACACAUUAGAGGCCACUUGAUAACAUUUGUUUCAGCAGAAGCCCACCUUAAAGUGGUCCAGUCAGUCAGGUUUUCUCCACUGGAUGAACACCUUAGAGGGCACGUAAUUAAAAAAAAACCUCUCGUAGAGUAAUUUAUCUUUAAUCUAUCAAAGUAAUACUUUCCAUGAGUACCAUCCACACUGGGCUUUCACUUUGAUGUGUUUUAGCCUUGUAUCACCAUGUUUUACAGGGCUUGAUACUUUGUUAUGGAGGUUUUUUUUUAGGCAAUGGGUUAAACACUGUCCAGAUAGACAAAGUAGUUCCAGAGUUAUUUAAUCAUGGUAUAUCAUUUUUGGAGAGGAGGCAAAAGGCGUUUCAUUGCAAAACGGAACUACUGCUUGCAGGCUGCCCGAUCUGAAAUCAGUUGCCUUCUUUGUCCUGAUACGCCUCUCACACAAAUUGGUUCCUUCUGUGCACAUGUAUCCGGCCACAGGACACAAAUAACUAGAUGCAGCUCCCUGUAAUGACAUAUACUGGACAAAAAGGGCUAGAAUUAUGGAGGGAGGAAUAAAAUCACUACUUUCAUCUGGCCUGCUGGGGCUGUCAUGCUCCUAAAGAGCCACUGGUUUGAAAAUGUGGAAACGUCGCCGUGCCUGUAUGAAAAGCACAUAGACAUUAGACAUGUGGUCGCCGCAAGAAUUCACAGGGGGUCCCUUUUCAAAGGCUUCAUUCUGGAUUGUUUUCAAUCUCGAGGGAUUGCACCAUUCCAUGUCGCUAAUGUUGGGGGACUCAAGGUCAGUCAAUGAAAGGGAAUGUUAAGUGAAACGCUGAACCUAGACCUGCUCCUCGAACCAUCUGUGCUUCCUGUUAUGUGUUAUGUGCUGCUCUUUGCACAGCAGGACAACGCUUUCAGCCACAAAAUGAGGGGAUUGUGUCCUUGCACUCAAUCAGUAAUGAGGUGGAACUCAUGUUAAAUUACACACAUGACUGGAGAAAUUGUAUUUUGUUACUACGCACCCUGUAGCAGCAGUUUUGCUCAUUUGAGUUUCUUUUAUGAGUACACAUUUUCAACGUAAACUUCUGUUCUUAAUAGGAAAACCCUCUGUAGUUUCACAUGGAUCAGGUGAUAAAGAGACCCUUCAUUGCAAGACUUUAGGGGCUGUUACCGAGAUGCUCUGGGAAUUUAAUGGUUAUUCAAGUGUUCUUUGGGUGUAGAUGUUGAAGGCCAGGCCUGUCGACACAAAGACAUAAUUAGUCUGGCUGUCUUUAUUUAUUUAUUUAUUUAUAUAUAUAUAUAUGUGACUGGGCAUGUGUGGGUGAGUGGGGAGCACGGUCGUCCUCCAAUCAGAGGGUUGUGGGUUCGAUCCCAGGCUCUGCUAACCCGCAUGUCGAUGUGUCCUUGGGCAACACGCUUAACCCAACAUGCUCCUGUAGCUGCGACUACAGUGUGUGGAUG
Molecule: long non-coding RNA, 12143 nt
Organism: Gasterosteus aculeatus aculeatus (three-spined stickleback)
Lineage: Eukaryota; Metazoa; Chordata; Actinopteri; Perciformes; Gasterosteidae
Source: Ensembl